UCCUACGGGAGGCAGCAGUGGGGAAUCUUAGACAAUGGGGGCAACCCUGAUCUAGCCAUGCCGCGUGAGUGAUGAAGGCCUUAGGGUCGUAAAGCUCUUUCGCCUGUGAUGACAAUGACAGUAGCAGGUAAAGAAACCCCGGCUAACUCCGUGCCAGCAGCCGCGGUAAUACGGAGGGGGUUAGCGUUGUUCGGAAUUACUGGGCGUAAAGCGCGCGUAGGCGGAUUAGAAAGUUGGGGGUGAAAUCCCGGGGCUCAACCCCGGAACUGCCUCCAAAACUGCUAGUCUAGAGUUCGAGAGAGGUGAGUGGAAUUCCGAGUGUAGAGGUGAAAUUCGUAGAUAUUCGGAGGAACACCAGUGGCGAAGGCGGCUCACUGGCUCGAUACUGACGCUGAGGUGCGAAAGUGUGGGGAGCAAACAGGAUUAGAUACCCUGGUAGUCCACACCGUAAACGAUGAAUGCCAGUCGUCGGGUAGUAUACUAUUCGGUGACACACCUAACGGAUUAAGCAUUCCGCCUGGGGAGUACGGUCGCAAGAUUAAAACUCAAAUGAAUUGACGGA
RNAcentral lists this ribosomal RNA (562 nucleotides) under uncultured bacterium. RNAcentral's name for it is "bacterial SSU rRNA". It matches the Rfam family "Bacterial small subunit ribosomal RNA", at positions 337 to 917 of the family's 1533-position model. The record is from RNAcentral.